GCUGUGUGUAUAACCUGUUUCCAUUUCAGUAGAAAAGGGAAAAGAGUUAACUAUGUCUUUAUUUGUCUGGCAGGAUGUCAGAGAAGUUGCUCGUGGAGGUUGCCAGGGAGGAGGACAAGAGAUGCCUGGGGUUUGGGGAACGGUAGAGACGUCUCGGCUAAGCCUUCAUCUCCAGAGGCCCCUGGGCACGCGGCUCCCAGGAAUGUGUGUGGAAGAAAGAAUCACCCUCAGAAUUAGAAAAAGAACCUGAAUCUGGUUCUCCGCUCUGCCACUUACUGGCCGUGUGACCCGACUAAGGCAGCUCUCAGACCCAAGUGUCCUCAUCUACAAAGUGGCUGUGGUGUUUGAAUGAGACGGCAUAUAGCCAAGGAUUUGUACACGAGUAUGUGAGCGAAAUCUGUGCCCAACGGAGACAAGCGUUUCUCCACUUCUCCGCCUCUCCAUAGGCUUUUGGUUUUUCCCUCUGGUUUAAGGAUAUUAAAUCACUGGCACCUUU
Long non-coding RNA from Felis catus (domestic cat), 496 nucleotides. RefSeq lists it as uncharacterized. The record is from RefSeq and is a predicted model, not a curated record. The transcript is spliced from 2 exons. NCBI's taxonomy places the organism in Eukaryota, Metazoa, Chordata, Mammalia, Carnivora, Felidae.